This 698-nucleotide long non-coding RNA is filed under the name Anas platyrhynchos platyrhynchos (common mallard). RNAcentral describes it as "lncRNA (ENSAPLG00000030293.1)". Lineage: Eukaryota; Metazoa; Chordata; Aves; Anseriformes; Anatidae. The record is from RNAcentral.
AGAAGGCCACUGAUGAAGGAAGAAGUUUGUCUUCAAAAAAGCUGCUUCUGCAUCUCACUGGAGUGCUUCCUUGGUUUAAAUGCCAGUAAGGACAGUUGAAGUCCUUUGCUUUAAAUCUGUUAAAUCCUUAUUUGCAGUACUCUUUAUCACAGCUUGGUCCUUGUUGGAUAUACUCUCGCCUCUACCCUAUGUAAAUUCAUUAGAAACAGGUUGCUGUGGUAGUUUCCCCUCUUAAACAGUAUACAAGUUAUUGUUUCCUCUUGCAAAGCCUUUCUCUUCCUUUUCCCAGAAACAGUGAACAGCUAUAUUGAAUAGAUUUCCCUACAAGGUUAUUUUACAGGUCAGGAGGUUAGCUUACUUUUGUCUUUUUACUUCAGCUGUUUCAGAAGAAAUCCUCUGUGUGUUCUCCUGAAUUGUAAAGGCUAGUAAGAAUGAGAAGUCUAAGCCAUCCAUUAAUCCACAGGCAAAAUACUAUUCAAGCAGCUGCAGUGAAAGCUCUCACAUGCUGCCCUGGAAAUAACCCCAGCCUUGACAUGGUGUCAGCUACCCAACACCGCCACCAUGCAGCGAGUGGACAGUUGUCUGAAUCACUUAACACUGAAAAUGUGCUAGCUCUUCAGAGCUCUAGCAGCCCUCCCCAGAACUGCAGGCAAUUUGACAUUCACUCUAGCUACCCAUCUCCUCCAAAAUUUCUGUGA